This 70-nucleotide transfer RNA is filed under the name Camelus dromedarius (Arabian camel). It matches the Rfam family "tRNA". Rfam says of the family: Transfer RNA (tRNA) molecules are approximately 80 nucleotides in length. RNAcentral also lists the same sequence under 1 other name. The record is from Rfam by way of RNAcentral. Lineage: Eukaryota; Metazoa; Chordata; Mammalia; Artiodactyla; Camelidae.
GGGUAUAGCUCAGUGGUAGAAUGUGUGCUUAGCAUGCACAAGGAUCUGGGCUCAGUCCCCAGUACCUCCA